GGAAUCUUGAGGAGACCUGCCCAUAGUACGAGAGGACCUGGGUGGACGAACCUCUGGUAUGCCGGUUGUCACGCCAGUGGCACCGCCGGUUGGCCACGUUCGGAAGGGAUAACCGCUGAAAGCAUCUAAGCGGGAAGCCUGCUCCAAGAUUAGGAUUCCGUGGGGCCAUCGAGCCCCUGGAGACCCCAUGCAGAACACAUGGUCGAUAGGCCGGACGUGGAAGCCCCGCGAGGGGUGGAGCUGACCGGUACUAAUGGUCGAGAGGCAAUCACAC
RNAcentral lists this non-coding RNA (274 nucleotides) under Bifidobacterium minimum. Its description in RNAcentral is "Bacterial large subunit ribosomal RNA". It matches the Rfam family "Bacterial large subunit ribosomal RNA", at positions 2656 to 2925 of the family's 2925-position model. The record is from Rfam by way of RNAcentral. Lineage: Bacteria; Bacillati; Actinomycetota; Actinomycetes; Bifidobacteriales; Bifidobacteriaceae.